RNAcentral lists this long non-coding RNA (1055 nucleotides) under Numida meleagris (helmeted guineafowl). RNAcentral describes it as "lncRNA (ENSNMEG00000008597.1)". Lineage: Eukaryota; Metazoa; Chordata; Aves; Galliformes; Numididae. The record is from RNAcentral.
GGUGCUUAGUUCUACUGAUCAUAAAAUGCUCAAAAUCAUUUAUGUCCCAUUUAUCUAACCCACAGCUACAGUCUUAUUAUUGUUAAAGUGCAAAGAACUUGGAUCUUGGAAUUCAACAAGUCACAGCAAUAUUAUUUUCUUUCAUCUAUGCAGGUCCAGCAAAUAUUUUGCAGGCCUCCCAUGAAAAACAGAGACAGUAAGUUGCUAGAAUGGAAGAAGCAAGUGCUCAGCACCUCUGCUGUAAUUAUGGUCUGGACUCCUGAGGUGGGAAAUUCGCAGAUGUGCUGUGUGCCCCUUCCAGUUUGCUUGCCUCCCUUCCCAUGGGAACCAACCUUUGGAAGAGGAAUGGAAGACUGGAAAGUACCUAUGUCUCUUUGCAACAUGGAUUCAUGAAUCUGGAAAGUUUUCCUAACUCCCACUCUUUACCUCCAGCAGUUAGUGUCUGAGGCAUGUAAGCCCUAUAUCACUGCCGGCGUUCCUCAGGUUUUGGUCUUGUCUACCCUAUACCAUCAAGGUACCCAUGUGAAAGCCUCUAGUGUGAAUAGUAUAGGCACACACACACACAUUUCCAAAUAUCCUUCAUGCUUUCUCUUUCUAUGGAUAUUUCUCUGAAUGAAACCUCACCUCAGCAAAUAGUCACAAAAAAUGAAUAGCAGUGGUCAUAGUCAUUGAGCGAACUCCUCUUUUGUGCUAUAACAAACACUGACUAGCACUGUUCAGUUUUUUACCCCAAGGCUGUCUGGGUCUAUGGGAAUUUUGUCCAUACAUGGACUACAGAAUUUGGUCCAUAACUCUCACUCCAGGAACAAUGGAUUAAUCCAAAACUCUAAAACAACCUAUUUUAACUGUGACAUAUGCUUAUUUCAUUAAAAAAUUUCCAAAGAGGUCACUUUGUAGAAGAAGAAAAAAGGUUUGAAAAGGUGCUGCCUGAAAGGUUAAAAUUUACAUAAGUCCAGCAUUAUUAUCAUUAUUAAUAACUUUGCAUACUUCUCACAUGCCUCAAAGUGCUUUACAGAAUUAAAUCCUACCCAUUUUGAAGGAAGUGCGAAAAGUCC